This 86-nucleotide long non-coding RNA is filed under the name Ornithorhynchus anatinus (platypus). RNAcentral describes it as "lncRNA (ENSOANG00000050962.1)". The record is from RNAcentral. Lineage: Eukaryota; Metazoa; Chordata; Mammalia; Monotremata; Ornithorhynchidae.
GUCCUAAGAGCUACCUGUAGCACCAGGAAUCCUGCAGCAGCAUCAGAGCACCGCAAGACUCCAUGUGAAGAUGUUUUUGAGUCAGA